This 492-nucleotide ribosomal RNA is filed under the name uncultured bacterium. Its description in RNAcentral is "partial 16S ribosomal RNA". It matches the Rfam family "Bacterial small subunit ribosomal RNA", at positions 29 to 507 of the family's 1533-position model. The record is from RNAcentral.
AGUGAACGCUGGCGGUAGGCCUAACACAUGCAAGUCGAACGGCAGCACAGUAAGAGCUUGCUCUUACGGGUGGCGAGUGGCGGACGGGUGAGGAAUACAUCGGAAUCUACUUUUUCGUGGGGGAUAACGUAGGGAAACUUACGCUAAUACCGCAUACGACCUACGGGUGAAAGCAGGGGAUCUUCGGACCUUGCGCGAUUGAAUGAGCCGAUGUCGGAUUAGCUAGUUGGCGGGGUAAAGGCCCACCAAGGCGACGAUCCGUAGCUGGUCUGAGAGGAUGAUCAGCCACACUGGAACGGAGACACGGUCCAGACUCCUACGGGAGGCAGCAGUGGGGAAUAUUGGACAAUGGGCGCAAGCCUGAUCCAGCCAGACCGCGUGGGUGAAGAAGGCGUUCGGGUUGUAAAGCCCUUUUGUUGGGAAAGAAAAGCAGCAGGUUAAUACCCCGCUGUUCUGACGGUACCCAAAGAAUAAGCACCGGCUAACUUCGUG